CGCGUGAGCAACCUGGACUCUUAGAAGGGGGGAUAACACCCGGAAACGAGUGCUAAUACCGGCAUAAGACCACGACAUGGCAUCAUGACGAGGUCAAAGGAGCAAUCCGCUGAGAGAGGGGCUCGCGUCCCCAUUAGAUAGAUGGCGGGGUAACGGCCCACCAUGUCAACGAUGGGUAGCCGAGCUGAGAGGCUGAUCGGCCACACUGGAACUGAGACACGGGUCCAGACUCCUACGGGAGGCAGCAGUGGGGAAUAUUGGGCAAUGGGCGCAAGCCUGACCCAGCAACGCCGCGUGAGGGAAGAAGGCUUUCGGGUUGUAAACCUCUGUCCUUGGUGACGAAACAAAUGACGGUAGCCAAGGAGGAAGCCCCGGCUAACUACGUG
RNAcentral lists this ribosomal RNA (386 nucleotides) under uncultured bacterium. Its description in RNAcentral is "bacterial SSU rRNA". It matches the Rfam family "Bacterial small subunit ribosomal RNA", at positions 114 to 507 of the family's 1533-position model. The record is from RNAcentral.